Streptomyces albireticuli is the source of this 84-nucleotide non-coding RNA. The record is from Rfam. Lineage: Bacteria; Bacillati; Actinomycetota; Actinomycetes; Kitasatosporales; Streptomycetaceae.
GGAGAGGUGCCCGGAGUGGCUUAUCGGGGACCGCGGUGCGCGGUCGGGCCCAGGCCCGCGCAGGUUCGAAUCCUGCCCUCUCCG